This 119-nucleotide ribosomal RNA is filed under the name Pteropus alecto (black flying fox). The record is from RNAcentral. Lineage: Eukaryota; Metazoa; Chordata; Mammalia; Chiroptera; Pteropodidae.
GUCUAUGGCUAUGCUACCCUGAACAAGCUCGAUCCUGUCUGAUCUCGGAAGCUAAGCAGGGUCGGGCCUUGUUAGUACUUGGAUGGGAGACCACCUAGGAAGACCAGGCGCUGUAGGAG